RNAcentral lists this transfer RNA (71 nucleotides) under Planctomycetales bacterium 12-60-4. RNAcentral's name for it is "tRNA-Gln". It matches the Rfam family "tRNA". Rfam says of the family: Transfer RNA (tRNA) molecules are approximately 80 nucleotides in length. Their secondary structure includes four short double-helical elements and three loops (D, anti-codon, and T loops). Lineage: Bacteria; Pseudomonadati; Planctomycetota; Planctomycetia; Planctomycetales. The record is from RNAcentral. RNAcentral also lists the same sequence under 1 other name.
UACCCGGUAGUGUAACGGUAGCACAACAGAUUUUGGUUCUGUUUGUCAAGGUUCGAAUCCUUGCCGGGUAA